This is a long non-coding RNA of Erinaceus europaeus (western European hedgehog), 1500 nucleotides long. RefSeq lists it as uncharacterized. Lineage: Eukaryota; Metazoa; Chordata; Mammalia; Eulipotyphla; Erinaceidae. The transcript has 4 exons. The record is from RefSeq and is a predicted model, not a curated record.
GCGAGGAGGUGGUGAUGAGGGGAGUGCAGGGUAGCUGGUUAUUGCUCACUGAAGCAGGUACGUGUUUUUCCCUCCAGUUUCUGUGUCUUUCAGAUCACCACUGACAAGGUGUUGAUAUGUGGAAGUAGUUACCUCAGGUCAACUGUUCCUGAAGUCAGGCUGGGAGCAGUCAUUGACAUGGAAAGCUCUUCGCUCCUUUGCCAGCUCCUCUGGUCCACAGAUGUCUCCGGAUUCAGCCCCACCCUUUCUUGGUUGUAGCAGUGGGAUUUGCAAAUGAUCAGCAAAACUCCAGAGUUAUACCCGACCUUAAGGUGGACUUCAACUAAAGCAGGUAUAACUAGCAGAAAAUCUACCUAAUGGAUGCUUUUUCAGAGAGGCAUUUCAUGUAGUGGUGUUCGAGGGUAUAUUCACCAGUGGCAACAAUCCAUUUGCUUCUAAACACAAGUUCAGCACCCAGAGCACCUAUGCGAGCAUGUGCAUCCACCCUUAAAAAUUAGCAGAGGAUACUAUAGAGGUUUUAAUGGCCACAAAUGUCUCUUCUUAUUUUCCUCCCUUAGGAAGACAAUAUCAGAGUGCUGGAAUCGAUUGAUUAAAAUUGUACUGGCAGAAGAUAAGCAUUGCUCAAAAUAUAGAAAUAUAUUUUAGACUGCAAAAUAAAGAGAAGCAUACACACACACACACACACACACACACAUACACACGCAUGCACGCACUCACGCACACGGAAACCAAAUCCGCAUAUUUCUUGGCUCAAGGUAGCAGACUGACUGGUUACCCAAAAUGAGCUUACUGCAAAAUCGCUCUGUUCUCACCACAGGCACCAUUUACCAACCGGGUGCAGUAGACAUGGUGUUGGCUCCUGAACUUCUCUCCUCCAAUUAAGCUGCACAACCUGUUACCAUUUUGCCAAUGGACUCUAUUUACUUGGGUUCUGCAAAACUUGCCAAGUGCUCACUCUGUGGAAUUCCCAGCAAAGAGAAAGAAACAAUUGGGGCAACUGUUUGGGAACAUCUUUUCCUUUUACUUGCCCUAGCAGAGGGGAAUGCAGCAACAUGGAGCAGAUGUGUUGAGACCAAAUGCACUCAUCCUCAUGAUUACAGUUGGUUGUACCUGUGGCUAGGCAAACUAAUUCCACUACAAAUGUUCAAGAGAGGGUAGUACUGCCAUACAAUGUGUGGUCCUGGAGGCUUUAUUCUCAUGUAACAGGGCGUCUCCAUUUCACAAGACCUGGCAAGCUGAGAAGAAAACGGAAGCAGCCCAGCCACGCGCCAUGGGAACUGUGAGCUCUCUAUGGACUGCUUGAGAGAGAGAGAGUGCCCUCGUCCUCCUUGUUGUUGACAUAGAUUUUGCAGAAUUUCUUAUUUGGAGUUUGAAAAUAAUGAUUCUUCUUUCUACUUAAUGGGCUCUGCCACUCAGCACCCUAUUGUUUGCUGCUCUUUGCAAAUGCCUGAGGAUGUCAUUAUGGCUACAUGUAUCAAUAUUAAACCUUUACAAACAGUU